AGUGAACGCUGGCGGUAGGCCUAACACAUGCAAGUCGAACGGCAGCACAGUAAGAGCUUGCUCUUACGGGUGGCGAGUGGCGGACGGGUGAGGAAUACAUCGGAAUCUACUUUUUCGUGGGGGAUAACGUAGGGAAACUUACGCUAAUACCGCAUACGACCUACGGGUGACAGCAGGGGAUCUUCGGACCUUGCGCGAUUGAAUGAGCCGAUGUCGGAUUAGCUAGUUGGCGGGGUAAAGGCCCACCAAGGCGACGAUCCGUAGCGGGUCUGAGAGGAUGAUUAGCCACACUGGAACUGAGACACGGUCCAGACUCCUACGGGAGGCCGCAGUGGGGAAUAUUGGACAAUGGGCGAAAGCCUGAUCCAGCCAUACCGCGUGGGUGAAGAAGGCCUUCGGGUGGUAAAACCAUGUUGUUGGGAAAGAAAAGCAGCAGGUUCACACCCCGCUGUACUGACGGUACCCAAAGAAUAAGCACCGGCUAACUUCGUG
RNAcentral lists this ribosomal RNA (492 nucleotides) under uncultured bacterium. RNAcentral describes it as "partial 16S ribosomal RNA". It matches the Rfam family "Bacterial small subunit ribosomal RNA", at positions 29 to 507 of the family's 1533-position model. The record is from RNAcentral.